This 253-nucleotide ribosomal RNA is filed under the name uncultured bacterium. RNAcentral's name for it is "partial 16S ribosomal RNA". It matches the Rfam family "Bacterial small subunit ribosomal RNA", at positions 524 to 776 of the family's 1533-position model. The record is from RNAcentral.
UACGUAGGGGGCUAGCGUUGUCCGGAUUUAUUGGGUUUAAAGGGUGCGUAGGCGGUCUUAUAAGUCAGUGCUGAAAUAUCCCGGCUUAACCGGGAGGGUGGCAUUGAUACUGUAGGACUUGAGUAAAGUUGAGGUUGGCGGAAUUGACGGUGUAGCGGUGAAAUGCUUAGAUAUCGUCAAGAACACCGAUAGUGUAGACAGCUAACUAAGCUUUAACUGACGCUGAGGCACGAAAGUGUGGGGAUCAAACAGG